RNAcentral lists this ribosomal RNA (440 nucleotides) under uncultured bacterium. Its description in RNAcentral is "partial 16S ribosomal RNA". It matches the Rfam family "Bacterial small subunit ribosomal RNA", at positions 339 to 795 of the family's 1533-position model. The record is from RNAcentral.
CUACGGGCUGCUGCAGUGGGGAAUAUUGCACAAUGGGGGAAACCCUGAUGCAGCAACGCCGCGUGGAGGAUGACGCAUUUCGGUGUGUAAACUCCUUUUAUCAAGGAAGAAAUUUGACGGUACUUGAUGAAUAAGCACCGGCUAACUCCGUGCCAGCAGCCGCGGUAAUACGGAGGGUGCAAGCGUUACUCGGAAUCACUGGGCGUAAAGGACGCGUAGGCGGUUUGAUAAGUUGGAUGUGAAAUCCUAUGGCUUAACCAUAGAACUGCAUCCAAAACUGUUAAACUAGAAUGAGGGAGAGGUCAGUGGAAUUAGUGGUGUAGGGGUAAAAUCCGUAGAGAUCACUAGGAAUACUCAUAGCGAAGGCGACUGACUGGAACUUUAUUGACGCUGAGGCGUGAAAGCAUGGGGAGCAAACAGGAUUAGAUACCCUUGUAGUC